RNAcentral lists this ribosomal RNA (890 nucleotides) under uncultured bacterium. RNAcentral describes it as "bacterial SSU rRNA". It matches the Rfam family "Bacterial small subunit ribosomal RNA", at positions 29 to 917 of the family's 1533-position model. The record is from RNAcentral.
AUGAACGCUGGCGGCGUGCCUAAUACAUGCAAGUCGAACGAAUCUCUUUUAGAGAUGAGUGGCGAACGGGUGAGUAAUACAUAGGUAACCUGCCCCUGUGCGGGGGAUAACAGGAGGAAACUCCUGCUAAUACCGCAUAGCCAUGAGCACCGCAUGGAGCUCAUGCCAAAUAUCCUUUCGGGGAUAGCGCAGGGAUGGACCUAUGGCGCAUUAGCUUGUUGGCGGGGCAACGGCCCACCAAGGCAACGAUGCGUAGCCGGCCUGAGAGGGCGGACGGCCACAUUGGGACUGAGACACGGCCCAGACUCCUACGGGAGGCAGCAGUAGGGAAUUUUCGGCAAUGGGGGAAACCCUGACCGAGCAACGCCGCGUGAGCGAAGAAGGCCUUCGGGUCGUAAAGCUCUGUUGUAAAGGAAGAACGGCGCAUACAGGAAAUGGUAUGCGAGUGACGGUACUUUACCAGAAAGCCACGGCUAACUACGUGCCAGCAGCCGCGGUAAUACGUAGGUGGCGAGCGUUAUCCGGAAUCAUUGGGCGUAAAGAGGGAGCAGGCGGCCGCAAGGGUCUGUGGUGAAAGACCGAAGCUAAACUUCGGUAAGCCAUGGAAACCGGGCGGCUAGAGUGCGGAAGAGGAUCGUGGAAUUCCAUGUGUAGCGGUGAAAUGCGUAGAUAUAUGGAGGAACACCAGUGGCGAAGGCGACGGUCUGGGCCGCAACUGACGCUCAUUCCCGAAAGCGUGGGGAGCAAAUAGGAUUAGAUACCCUAGUAGUCCACGCCGUAAACGAUGGUCACUAAGUGUCGGGGGUCAAACCCCGGUGCUGCAGUCAACGCAAUAAGUGACCCGCCUGAGUAGUACGUUCGCAAGAAUGAAACUCAAAGGAAUUGACGGA